AGAGUUUGAUCCUGGCUCAGGAUGAACACUGGCGGCAUGCUUAACACAUGCAAGUCGAAUGGGAAGUGGUGUUUCCAGUGGUGAACGGGUGAGUAACGCGUAAGAACCUGCCCUUGGGAGGGGAACAACAACUGGAAACGGUUGCUAAUACCCCGUAGGCUGAGGAGCAAAAGGAGAAAUUCGCCCAAGGAGGGGCUCGCGUCUGAUUAGCUAGUUGGUGAGGUAAUAGCUUACCAAGGCGAUGAUCAGUAGCUGGUCCGAGAGGAUGAUCAGCCACACUGGGACUGAGACACGGCCCAGACUCCUACGGGAGGCAGUAGUGGGGAAUUUUCCGCAAUGGGCGAAAGCCUGCCGGAGCAACGCCGCGUGGAGGUGGAAGGCCUACGGGUCGUCAACUUCUUUUCUCGGAGAAAAACAAUGACGGUAUCUGAGGAAUAAGCAUCGGCUAACUCUGUGCCAGCAGCCGUGGUAAGACAGAGGAUGCAAGCGUUAUCCGGAAUGAUUGGGCGUAAAGCGUCUGUAGGUGGCUUUUCAAGUCCGCCGUCAAAUCCCAGGGCUCAACCCUGGACAGGCGGUGGAAACUACCAAGCUAGAGUACGGUAGGGGCAGAGGGAAUUUCCGGUGGAACGGUGAAAUGCAUUGAGAUUAGAUAGAACACCAACGGCGAAAUCACUCUGUUGGGCCGUCAUUGACACUGAGAGACGAAAGCUAGGGGAGCAAAUGGGAUUAGAGACCCCAGUAGUCCUAGCCGUACACUAUGGAUACUAGGGACCUUGGACGCAAAUGUUUUUUCUAGUUUGGAACCAUGCGUACGGGAUUUGUUUUUCAACUCUUGCGUGCCUUUUUUCUUACUCUUGAUAUAUUGUUGAUAAACUUUGUUUAGUAUUUUCGGACGGUUGAUGGUAUCAAGCUCUAAGGCUUGAUUGAGAAGGAUUUUGCUACAUGGCACUCAGAUAAUCAUGGAAUUUUCUCUAUGAUAACCGUAUAUCGAAGAACAUAUGCACACUCUCUAAAAAAACCUAAAAAAAAUAGAUGCACACUCUGAUGUAACAACGCCGCCGCUCACACAAAGGUCAUCUAGCCGCUAGCUUUCAUGUGCUUCAUACCUGCGUCGGUCUGCCUCGUCUCCGUGGCCUUUAGGGCAAUGGAGGUGUGGUGGAUCCCAGCCCUUACCGGCGGCACUUCGUUUUUUGUUGUCUUUAUGAUUUUUUAGGGGUUUAUGUUCUGCUUAGAGAGGUGAGGCGGUGAUGGCUCUUUGAAGAUGGAAUAAGAUUUUCCUUCUCUAACCCCUGUCUCGGCAGUGU
Molecule: ribosomal RNA, 1304 nt
Filed under: Aegilops tauschii subsp. strangulata
Lineage: Eukaryota; Viridiplantae; Streptophyta; Magnoliopsida; Poales; Poaceae
Description: bacterial SSU rRNA
Rfam family: Bacterial small subunit ribosomal RNA (bases 2-830)
Source: RNAcentral